UCGUAGAUGGCGGUGCAUGUUUCCGAACGUCCCUUUUUCCAAGCGGUACGCUAAACAACGAUAACCGAUCAAAAUGACGGAAGGUACAGCCACCAUCAGGACGAGAAAGUUCAUGACCAAUCGGCUUUUAUGCCGAAAACAAAUGGUCGUAGAUGUUAUUCAUCCUGGCCAACCAUCAGUUCGUAAAACCGAGAUUCGAGAGAAAUUAGCCAAGAUGUAUAAAGUGACUCCAGAUGUUGUCUUUGUGUUUGGCUUCCAAACCAACUUUGGUGGUGGUAAAUCUACUGGAUUUGCACUUAUCUAUGACACCUUGGAUUUUGCAAAGAAAUUUGAACCUAAAUAUAGGUUAGCAAGGCAUGGUCUCUUUGAGAAACAAAAACAAACGAGAAAACAGCGUAAAGAACGCAAGAACAGAAUGAAGAAAGUUAGGGGUACUAAAAAGAGUAAAGUUGGAGCAGCGUCUAAAAAGGGAAGGAAAUAGAGAAAUGAUCAUCAUUUGUACUACAGACUUCUGGAGGAGCAAUUUCUUAUUGCUUAAUCAGGUAAAAGAAGCCAUCUUGAAGACCACACAAUCAUCGACGUAAAAGUUAUUAUAUUUUACUAUGGAAUAGCGCCGAAAUUAUAAUACAUUUUACGGAAUAAA
This 643-nucleotide unclassified non-coding RNA is filed under the name Acromyrmex echinatior (Panamanian leafcutter ant). RNAcentral describes it as "40S ribosomal protein S24, transcript variant X1". Lineage: Eukaryota; Metazoa; Arthropoda; Insecta; Hymenoptera; Formicidae. The record is from RNAcentral.